This is a small nuclear RNA of Rana temporaria (common frog), 105 nucleotides long. The record is from RefSeq and is a predicted model, not a curated record. NCBI's taxonomy places the organism in Eukaryota, Metazoa, Chordata, Amphibia, Anura, Ranidae.
UAAACUACCAAGCUUGCUUCGGCAAAAUUGGAAAGGAUACAGAGAAGAUUAGCAUGGUCCCUGUGCAAGGAUGACAUGUAUAUUCGUGAAGCAAUCCAUAUUUUG